This 410-nucleotide ribosomal RNA is filed under the name uncultured bacterium. RNAcentral describes it as "bacterial SSU rRNA". It matches the Rfam family "Bacterial small subunit ribosomal RNA", at positions 64 to 520 of the family's 1533-position model. The record is from RNAcentral.
GAGCGCCGUAGCAAUACGGAGCGGCAGACAGGAGAGUAACACGUGGGAACGUACCCUUUGGUUCGGAACAACGCAGGGAAACUUGGGCUAAUACCGGAUAAGCCCUUACGGGGAAAGAUUCAUCGCCGAAGGAUCGGCCCGCGUCUGAUUAGCUAGUUGGUGGGGUAAUGGCCCACCAAGGCGACGAUCAGUAGCUGGUCUGAGAGGAUGAUCAGCCUCACUGGGACUGAGACACGGCCCAGAUUCUUACGGGAGGCAGCAGUGGGGAAUAUUGGACAAUGGGCGCAAGCCUGAUCCAGCCAUGCCGCGUGGGUGAUGAAGGCCCUAGGGUUGUAAAGCCCUUUCGGCGGGGAAGAUAAUGACGGUAUCCGCAGAAGAAGCCCCGGCUAUCUUGGUGCCAGCAGCCGCGG